RNAcentral lists this ribosomal RNA (566 nucleotides) under uncultured bacterium. RNAcentral's name for it is "bacterial SSU rRNA". It matches the Rfam family "Bacterial small subunit ribosomal RNA", at positions 337 to 916 of the family's 1533-position model. The record is from RNAcentral.
UCCUACGGGAGGCAGCAGUGGGGAAUUUUCCGCAAUGGGCGAAAGCCUGACGGAGCAAUACCGCGUGAGGGAGGAAGGCUCUUGGGUUGUAAACCUCUUUUCUCAGGGAAGAACAAAAUGACGGUACCUGAGGAAUAAGCAUCGGCUAACUCCGUGCCAGCAGCCGCGGUAAUACGGAGGAUGCAAGCGUUAUCCGGAAUUAUUGGUGGUAAAGCGUCCGUAGGUGGCAGUUCAAGUCUGCUGUCAAAGGUCAGGGCCCAACCCUGAACAGGCAGUGGAAACUGAACAGCUAGAGUGCGGUAGGGGCAGAGGGAAUUCCCAGUGUAGCGGUGAAAUGCGUAGAGAUUGGGAAGAACACCGGUGGCGAAAGCGCUCUGCUAGGCCUGCACUGACACUCAGGGACGAAAGCUAGGGGAGCGAAUGGGAUUAGAUACCCCAGUAGUCCUAGCCGUAAACGAUGGAUACUAGGCGUAGCUUGUAUCGACCCAAGCUGUGCCGUAGCUAACGCGUUAAGUAUCCCGCCUGGGGAGUACGCGCGCAAGCGUGAAACUCAAAUGAAUUGACGG